RNAcentral lists this long non-coding RNA (214 nucleotides) under Elaeis guineensis (African oil palm). RNAcentral's name for it is "long non-coding RNA (EGUI_LNC005174)". The record is from RNAcentral. Lineage: Eukaryota; Viridiplantae; Streptophyta; Magnoliopsida; Arecales; Arecaceae.
AGUUGGACUGGAAUCAUCACCAUCUCAAUGUUGCCUCUGUUGUUACUUGGUUGAUGUUUGAUUGAUGCACUGGCGUGAUGUUGAUGGACUUGGUGUUGGGUAUCUAUCUGUAUGUCAUUUACUGGGCUCCAAUGUAUUCUUGAGUAGAUUGACUGGUUCCAGUGUGGGCCUUGAUAUUGUUAGAUAUGAGGGCAUUACCUGGUUCUCAGCUAUC